CAUGAGAUGAAUUGUCUCAUAUAAUUACAUACUUCCUGAUGUUCUUCCAAAGUAGUGCUUCAUCCCACACAACGUUGUAGUUGCAAGUACCUCCUCUUUAAAAGAGGCAAAUGCAAAUAAUCUUUGUAAAAAUUGUCUUUGGAGGAAUUGCCUCUUUGCUUUGACAGCUUGGUUGUCAGCUGCUGAAUUCAUCCAGAUCCAUGUGCCUAACACGGUAAGAGGUCUCACCAGCAGGGAGGAGGUGUAGGAAUGAAACUCUGAUUUCUAAUGGUGGCAGCACUCCAUGUGAUGAAAAGGCCAAGUGUUCCACUCCUGUCCUCUGUGACUGAGGAUCUUUCACAGCCUGGAAAUCACAGCUGAAAUUGUAGCACACUGUCAAGCUUGAGCCUGCAAAUGCUGCAGUCGGAGACUUGAAUUCCAUAAGAUCUCAUUUGGAUGAAUCCAUUUGCCCACUGUGGACCAGAGGCAAGCUUUAGGAGCAGGCUGAUCUAUCAAGGCUGUAAAAGUUCUGUGCAUCUUUCUGACAGCAGUAAGAAGUGAAGGGCAUGCAGCAGAGGCCUAAAUGACCAUAUAACAAAUUGAAGCAAAUCUGGAUCUGCGAGAUUGGUGAGGCAUGAUUUAGGACUGGGAUGAGAAGCUGGUGUCACUGCUGGAAAAUGACAUCGAGGACAGAUACCUCACUGCUCUUCCUUUUUGCUCUCUGCAUCUGGAACAGAGGGUGAUCACAGCAUUGUACAAAAGGGAAAUUCAAAUUUUGAAUUCAUUUUGGAUGUUGUAGGUUUCUCCCCUCAUAGGAGCUUUUCUGUCUCCAUUGACUCAUAGAAAGCCUAUGAUAUUAAUUGAUUAAAAGUGGUGCCUAGGACUGAUUAAUGCAGAUGCUUUUUUUGAGUGGCAUAGAACCAUAAUUUCACUGGAGAAUUUAAAGAUUUGGAGAGCUCAGGUGCUAUUCAGUUUUACCUUUAUCUGAAUAAAAUUUAAAGGUCAUUACA
RNAcentral lists this long non-coding RNA (989 nucleotides) under Junco hyemalis (dark-eyed junco). RNAcentral's name for it is "lncRNA (ENSJHYG00000007632.1)". The record is from RNAcentral. Lineage: Eukaryota; Metazoa; Chordata; Aves; Passeriformes; Passerellidae.